RNAcentral lists this ribosomal RNA (445 nucleotides) under uncultured bacterium. Its description in RNAcentral is "bacterial SSU rRNA". It matches the Rfam family "Bacterial small subunit ribosomal RNA", at positions 330 to 792 of the family's 1533-position model. The record is from RNAcentral.
CCCAGACUCCUACGGGAGGCAGCAGUGGGGAAUAUUGCACAAUGGGGGAAACCCUGAUGCAGCAACGCCGCGUGAGUGAGGAAGUAUUUCGGUAUGUAAAGCUCUAUCAGCAGGGAAGAGAAUGACGGUACCUGACUAAGAAGCCCCGGCUAACUACGUGCCAGCAGCCGCGGUAAUACGUAGGGGGCAAGCGUUAUCCGGAUUUACUGGGUGUAAAGGGAGCGUAGACGGCAUGGCAAGUCUGAAGUGAAAGCCCGGGGCUCAACCGCGGGACUGCUUUGGAAACUGUUAAGCUGGAGUGCAGGAGAGGUAAGUGGAAUUCCUAGUGUAGCGGUGAAAUGCGUAGAUAUUAGGAGGAACACCAGUGGCGAAGGCGGCUUACUGGACUGUAACUGACGUUGAGGCUCGAAAGCGUGGGGAGCAAACAGGAUUAGAUACCCGGGUA